CGGGUGAGUAACACGUGAGUGACCUGCCUUUUAGACUGGAACAACUUACCGAAAGGUGAGCUAAUGCCGGAUGAGUUAUAUAAGUGCAUGUUUAUAUAGGAAAAGUUGGGGAGACCUGACGCUGAAAGAUGGACUCGCGUCCCAUUAGCUAGUUGGUGGGGUAAUGGCCUACCAAGGCGACGAUGGGUAGCCGGCCUGAGAGGGUGGCCGGCCACACUGGGACUGAGACACGGCCCAGACUCCUACGGAAGGCAGCAG
RNAcentral lists this ribosomal RNA (258 nucleotides) under uncultured bacterium. RNAcentral's name for it is "partial 16S ribosomal RNA". It matches the Rfam family "Bacterial small subunit ribosomal RNA", at positions 103 to 354 of the family's 1533-position model. The record is from RNAcentral.